Molecule: ribosomal RNA, 253 nt
Filed under: uncultured bacterium
Lineage: Bacteria
Description: partial 16S ribosomal RNA
Rfam family: Bacterial small subunit ribosomal RNA
Source: RNAcentral
UACGGAGGGUGCGAACGUUAAUCGGAAUUACUGGGCGUAAAGCGCACGUAGGCGGUUCGCUAAGUGGGAUGUGAAAUCUCCUGGCUCAACUAGGAGAGGUCGUUCAAUACUGCCAGACUAGAGGACGGUAGAGGAAGGUAGAAUUCCCGGUGUAGUGGUGAAAUGCGUAGAUAUCGGGAGGAAUACCAGUGGCGAAGGCGGCCUUCUGGGCCGUUCCUGACGCUCAGACGCGAAAGCGUGGGUAGCGAACGGG